Lotus japonicus is the source of this 2167-nucleotide long non-coding RNA. RefSeq lists it as uncharacterized. NCBI's taxonomy places the organism in Eukaryota, Viridiplantae, Streptophyta, Magnoliopsida, Fabales, Fabaceae. The transcript has 8 exons. The record is from RefSeq and is a predicted model, not a curated record.
GAUUCUUUGUUUUCAAAUUUUAGAUGGAAAUCAUGUUUCUGCCUGGGAUCUUUUACCUGAGAUAUAUACAUUGUUAAUUGCAUUAUUACAUGGCUUUUGGAUAAUAUUAUCUAUGCUCGUGCCUACACUUAUGAGCAUCAGUACAACCUCCUCCUUGGCUUAGCUGCUAAAAUGUAUGAAGAACCGAUUGUAGAUUCAGUGGUUGCUUUGUAUAGGGUGGACUUUUCAGGAAGAGGAGAGCUUGCAGCGCCAGUCAAAACUGGCACAAAUGCUUUCUUGAUUGAUAAAGAUAGCUGCAGAAUUCAAUGUUGCAGUUUACAUGACAAAUCAAGAAAUUAAUUUAAAAAACAUAAUGACCCUUAUAUUAAGGAGUGAAGUUUGCAGUUAAGGUCGUAGCAGGUGAGAACGGAGGCAAUAAGUGGUUCUCCCUCUGGAUGUCUCUCAGUGGCGUUUGUUCCCUAAUUUUCAUCUUCACAAGCGGCUAGGUCUUCCAUAUCUUCACCUUGGCUGACAUUAUGCCCUCAUUGCCAUCUCAGGGUGUUCUUGGAUCUGUUAGAUGUGAUUCUGCAUCAAGGAGAAGUGUCAUAGUCAUUGCACACAGGUGAUACUUUAGUUGUCACUUGUCAGUGUUAAUUAGUGGUAUUCCAAUUCAUAAUUUUUUAGUUUUGAAAUGUGUGAACUGAUUUUACAAGCUUUCUACCAUACAAGUAGCUGACAGGAUUGUGGUGAUGGAUAGAGGUCAUGUUGUUGAGGUUGGUAUAUUUUUCUAUUAUAUUUUGAAUACCUCAAAUAUUCUAAUCAGUAUUCUUUCUUGAGGUUUAUUAUCUUUCAUACAUGAGCCCCACUUUUUUUUUGUUUCAUUAACAAUGUAAAAGUUCACACACAUGUUGGGCUAAUGCUUCUCUAACAAUUCUCAUUUCUUUCUUUUUUUCUCAUUUCUCUGUCCACGUUUCUUGCAAAUUUUCACACACAUGUUGGGCUAAUACUGAAGGUUGAAAAAAAUGUUAAUAUAAUUCAAAGUGAAAUCAUCUUGAGCCAUAAGUAUGUGGUGGUUUAGAUGAGUUCUAUUUUGAACAGGUACAAAAUGUCAGGUCCUGAUGGAAGAAAUUAUUGGAUCAGCCAUGAAGCAAAUAUUGGUGGAAGUGAUGCAGAUGAUGCUUAAUCAUUCUGCCAUUCUCAAUUCAACAAAGUUGGACGGAGAAAGCCUUUCAAGUGCUUUGUCUCUCAAGUAAAUGGAAUAAUGAAAUAAAAAAACUGCUGAAAACUAUGUAUUAACCAAUACUUGGUUAGUUGAUUUUAAGUUAAUUUUUUCCUCAAAUGGAAUUUAUUCAGUUAUGAUGCCAAAAAAAAGGCUAUACAUGUGUGUUAAUUCUUUUUUUCUUUUUACUGAAUUUGAUUCCGGCUCGGUCAUGAUGAAUAUGGCAUUUGAUAGGGUUAAUGUGGAGAUAAAACUCAGUUCAUAUUGCCCUCAUAGAACUUUAUGAGUACAGUAUUGCUUCUUUAACAUUCAAUGCAUUCCUGAAACUGUUUGGAUUUCAUUUAUUGAAUGAUAUGGUUUUCUUUUUUCUUUUUCAUUAUCCUUUCUUUGCGUGACCUGAAACAUAAUUGUCAUUAACUUCUAUCAUCGCAGAAUGAAAGUCACAGGGAACUUAUCUUAAAAGAUGGUUUAUAUGCUUGGUUGACUAGAAAACAGGCAGGUGCCAUGACAUGAUUUGGGUUUCCAGUGCAGAUUAUAAAAAAUGGUGAUGUUUAGCAAAGAAGAAAGCUGCAGCAGUUCUGGUUCUAAAUGCAUGGCGUCUUCAGAAAGAUUUCACAAUAUCAGGAUUCAGGCUCUUAGGUUCAGCAGGAACAUGAAACCUGUGGUAUAUAUGUUUUAGAGGCAGGAAUAUUGUAGAAAUGUGGUUUGAUGGGAUAAAAUAAAUUGCUAUAAGAAGACAUGCAUCUGGACUCGCGCUUCUCCCUCUGCAGCAGCUUUCAUCUAAAACAAACAUAGGCUUGCUCCAUUGUAAAUGUAAUAUUGAUGUUCAACAUGGAUAUUCAAUUCAUAGUCCAGAUGGUCAUCAUGGUGGUAUGACUAUAUAGACACUGUUCAUUUAAUAAAUGUAAAUGUAAUAUUAAUGUUUAACACUUGAUUUGAAGAAAUACAACUGGCCCAUGAUUGAUGACA